AUGUGGUAAGAGUAGAGGAUGGCAGAGAGAUAGCUUGGCUGCACCACUGAUCAUCUAACAAGGUCAGGAGAAAACAAGGAAGACCUCACUGGGUAGACCAUCUGGGUUGAACUUACGAGAAGGUAUCAUUUCAUUGAACUGAUUCUGUUUUUGAAAAGUCAAAAAAAGGAAAGACUAACUAAUGAUGGAAAAUCAUCUAUAAAUUCAACCAGAAGACCUCAAGGUGGGGAUUGCUAGAGAAAGUUGGAACCGUGAGUUCCACCCACAGUUUCUUUGAAAAAGGACCAA
Molecule: non-coding RNA, 288 nt
Organism: Phascolarctos cinereus (koala)
Lineage: Eukaryota; Metazoa; Chordata; Mammalia; Diprotodontia; Phascolarctidae
Source: RefSeq, a predicted model, not a curated record